CUCAAGUAGGGCCCAAGCAAGCUAGGAAGGAGGAGGCAGCCAGAGUGUUCUCUGCAGCAGAAGACCCCUUGCUGCCCUGCUUAACCCAGACCAGCAUUUGUCAGUUAUAUCUGAUGUAUUGUGUGGCAGAUGUGAGGCACUACAGUGAGGCACUACCUCACUGUACUGCACUACCACACUACCGCCCCCAGUGAGGCACUACCUUGGCGUGGUUGUGGGGCUUGCGUGCUCUGAGGAAGGUGAGAGCUAUGCUAGAGGUCCAACCAUACUGGACAGGUCUCACCAGAGGAGCCAGACGAAGAGUGCCUCUCCCAUCAACAAUAUGGUGAGACGUAAUCUAUAUUGGAUCAAUUGUCACCCGGGUCAACAAGGACCGCGCCAGGUGCUGGAGUCCCUGGACAUCUGGUGGCAAGUGGGCUGCAGGACUCAGGAUCUUCAGUUGAGCAACCAGGGCUGGACCUCAAGGUUACUGGAAGAAACGUUGCUUAACCGGAAAAAAAUAUAUGAAAAAUGCCAACAAGGAAAUAAUGAUCUGUUGUUGUUGUUGUUGUUGUUGUUAAUAAAAAAUUUGUUCUGUU
Molecule: long non-coding RNA, 578 nt
Organism: Hemicordylus capensis (graceful crag lizard)
Lineage: Eukaryota; Metazoa; Chordata; Lepidosauria; Squamata; Cordylidae
Exons: 2
Source: RefSeq, a predicted model, not a curated record